AUGUUGAGUAUGAAAAAAGUCCUAGUCUCUCAUAUCAAUAGUUAUAUUGAAUCGGAGUUAAUAGCUGUUCAUCAUGAGGAAAAUUAUGAGUCCCAACUCAAAUGUAUGAAGAUAAGUUUGUAAAAUUAGGUACCCAGCUUUUGUGCCAUGAAAUGGAUCACACAUAAUGAAAAAAUGUUUUUGAUGUUCUUACUUCAUGUAGUAGAUCUUAGAUUUAUUUUGUGUCACUAGCUUGUAUCAUGCCUCUCAGGUAAUGUUUUAUUAUAAGACUUCGUUUCCAAUAUGAAUUAAUAGGAGAAACAUCAUGGGAAAAUAUACAUUGACUUAACCUAUGGUGGUGGCAUUCUUUAAAUACAUAUCACAUAUAAUUUCAUUAUUUGUCCAUUCAAAAUUAACUUAGUAAUGUCCGUUUGAAUGAUGGGGACAUUUCCUUUGCAAGUCGACACAUCCUUCAAAUACGAAGACGAAAAACAAACGUCACUGGACAGUUGAGAAUCUGAUGCUGCUAGCUUCUCUGUUGAGACAUGAAAACAAAGGAAAGAGCCUCCAAGAGGCUGUGAAAUACCACUAAGUUUGUAAAGGAUAAGACUUGAGAAAGGAGCCGACACAUCCUGGAAUUUGAUGACAAACACAGACUUGUCCAUUUAAGAAUAUCAACAGAAUGCACAGAGGAAACGGAAAAGGGUCAGGUAAAAACCUGGCACAAAGGAAUCUCCCAGGAAUCUACAAGGAUGUCCCCAGCCUAGACACCUGGCAAUAACGAAGAAGUAGCGUGAACUGUGAACUGCCUUCUAUGACCACCCUGGUGCCCGUCUGACUCAAUUGUCGUCAGAGAGGCUUCAUCCAGCAACUGAUGGAAACAAAUGCAGAUCUACAGCCAUAUAUUAGGUGGAAUUUGGGGAAUCCUGCAGAAGAGGGGGAAAAGGAUUGUAGGAGCCAGAGGGGUCAAGGACA
This is a non-coding RNA of Cricetulus griseus (Chinese hamster), 954 nucleotides long. The record is from RefSeq and is a predicted model, not a curated record. Lineage: Eukaryota; Metazoa; Chordata; Mammalia; Rodentia; Cricetidae.